AGUGGAAUAACUGGGUCAAAUGGUGGUUUCAUUCCAAGUUUUCUGAGGAAUCUCCAUACUGCUUUCUAGAGUGGUUGCUCCAAUUUGCAGUCCCACCAGCAAU
Molecule: microRNA precursor, 103 nt
Filed under: Marmota monax (woodchuck)
Lineage: Eukaryota; Metazoa; Chordata; Mammalia; Rodentia; Sciuridae
Source: RNAcentral